This is a long non-coding RNA of Cydia splendana, 1223 nucleotides long. RefSeq lists it as uncharacterized. The record is from RefSeq and is a predicted model, not a curated record. Lineage: Eukaryota; Metazoa; Arthropoda; Insecta; Lepidoptera; Tortricidae. The transcript is spliced from 2 exons.
CAGCCGGUCGCCAACAUGGGCCUAGAAGCUGCCUCCUCCGACGUAGUGUCUCCUGAUGACGACGAGUUCGACGCAUACAGGAAGCGCAUGAUGCUCGCCUACCGGUUCAGACCCAACCCUCUGAAUAAUCCUCGGCGACCGUAUUAUUAAGUAAACUAGAUUAAUACAUUUAAAGUCUUAAAGAGUUUUGUUAUGUUAUCGAAACCAUAAAUGCAUCGCGCAUGAUGUAUGUCAACUUAUUUCAGAUUUUGAUGACACAGUAUGGGCAUAUUUGUUAUUAAAAACAUGAAUAGGUAAUAUGUAUUAGUUCGUGUUCAGAUAUUUUUGAGUAAAUUUGUCUGUCAAUAUUAUUACUUUGUGUAUUUGAUGGCGACCGUAUUAAUAUAAUAUCACCAAUUUAAACACAUGAAAUGAGUAAAGUACAAAACAUAAUGUAUAAUCAUAUAUAUUAACUAUAUAAUGUUAUAUAAGUAUAUUAUUUAACCGAAUGCCGAAAAAGAGGUUAUUCAAGUAUGUUUGCCCAAAAUAAUUUGCUUAGCCCAAAUUCUUGACUGAUUUUAAAGUGAGAUGUCACUAGAUUUUCUAUCUCAGUCGUGGGGGUGCCGUAGGCAAUGUUUUUAUAAGUAGACUUACGUAUUAGUUAGAAUCUGGUCUCAAUCCACGGGUGGUAGGUAGCCAUUUGUUGAAAAUUGUAUAAAAAUAUUACUAUAAUUUAAGUAUUUCAGAAACUUUCAUGUAACUACAUUCAUGUAUUUAACUGUAAGUACAAUUACUACAGUUAUUCGGCGCGAUUCGGGAAAUGAAUUAGAGAUUCACUAGAUAUGAAAUAGUAAAGAUAUGUGACGUUCCACGGCAAAAGGUACCUUAUGGCCGCAAUAAUAUUGGAGCGGUGUUAAUAAUAGCGUAAGCGCCAACCUCCAUAGGGUCCUUUUGCCGUGGAACGUCACAUAACGUCACUAUUUCAUAUCUAGUGAAUGUCUAAUUCAUUUCCGGAAUCGCGCCGAUUACAUUUUUUCUUUCUAUUUUAGACAUUUUAGUCUGCAUAAUGUCUUUCAGAGCCAAAUUGUGUUUAUAUUAUAAAUCUAUUAAUUGUAUAGUCAUUAAGUUCUUUAUCAAACAACAAGGCUUGAUUCAUUCAACUAAUGGCAUCAUACUUACUUUAUGUAUAAAUAUUUAGCACAAUUUGUGGCAUACUUUCAUAAAAAAUACAUACUUACAUUUUA